CAUAUUACAUUAAUUUUCACCAAUAAAAAAAAACAUAUUACAUUAAUGGGUGUAAGUGAUGCAUGCCAGAAGCAUUAAAUACCAAAUUAACCCCCAAAAUUUCCUUAAUCCCCAUUUAACCAAAAACCACCAAAACCAACCGGCAACCUCGUAUGCAUCUCUUACAUCCCAUGAUACCAUCAUAACAUAAACAAAAUAAAAAUAUUAAAAAAAAUAUAUCAGUGGCAAAUACGUAAAGAAAUUAAGAUGCAACAUACAAAAUUUAAAUAAAAUAAAAAAUAAAAAAAGUUAAAGGUAAUUCGGACCGCUACCCUCAAUUCCCCGCAAUGCAAUGUUGACACUAUCCCAAUUCUGAUGGGCUAGAAACUAGGGAGAGUGCAAUUGCAAAGCCUUUUUUGUGUUGAUUCUUUCAUAAUCAACUUUUAAUCAUAUUUACAUUACUACCCUUCCAUCCUAUGCCACCGCCGUCUAUGACGGUGGUGACAUCAUUCGCCGCCGCUACCGGAACCGUCAAAGACACAAUCUUACAAGCCAUGUUAAUUUUUUGGGUGGUAUGAAAAAUAAUUAAGAUUGAUAAUGGACGAGUAAGAAAAUGUAAAUGGCCAAAGUAUAAGGGAUAGUGUAGUGAGAGUGAGAAUGGGAAUGAAUAAGUUUAGGGACAAGGGGUGACAUGAUGGGUCGUAUAUAAAGGCGAGAUUUUAGCUUUUGGUUCACCAUUAUUAAUUUUUAUUAAUUAAUUAUUG
This 743-nucleotide long non-coding RNA is filed under the name Cicer arietinum (chickpea). Its description in RNAcentral is "long non-coding RNA (CARI_LNC001079)". Lineage: Eukaryota; Viridiplantae; Streptophyta; Magnoliopsida; Fabales; Fabaceae. The record is from RNAcentral.